Long non-coding RNA from Crotalus tigris (Tiger rattlesnake), 4195 nucleotides. RefSeq lists it as uncharacterized. NCBI's taxonomy places the organism in Eukaryota, Metazoa, Chordata, Lepidosauria, Squamata, Viperidae. The record is from RefSeq and is a predicted model, not a curated record. The transcript has 3 exons.
GGAAGGAAGGAAGGAAGGAAGGAAGGAAGGAAGGAAGGUAGGUCUCAAAGUGUGGAAACACUAUUCUUCUUACUUUCUCUGUCCAAAUAACGUGGAUAUUAUGAUCCCAUAAAUCUGGAGGGUAGUAAGCUGGAGAAGGAUGUUACAUCAGUAUCUAUUGGACCCUAAUUCCCACUUGUAAGCAAAUAAAUACUUGUAAGUAGGCCAAUGCAUGUAUGUGUGUGUGUCUCCAACGUGAACACAUGUGUGUUUCUCACCAACUUCUCUAUUUCCUUAUCUCUUUUUGUCAGCAAACUCUGCUGAUUUAAGCCUUUUUCAUGAGGACAAAAGUAUCCAUUUCGGUCACUCUGGUGGAAAACUCACUGCCAAAGCAUCAACAAUUGAAUAAUAGUUUAUAAAGCCAGCAGGUUACAGUGAAUCCCUGGUCUCUUGCAGAGGCACCAAGAGGAAGGGCCAGAAAAUUAUAUAGGUCUUAUAUGUAGUUGAUCAAAAACUGUUUAAAUAUGAACUAGCACAAAACCUCAAGUACAAAUGGAAUUGCUUUAUAAUUGAUUUAGAAAUAAGAGAACCAGAAAGGAGCUCAGGCACAAAACUCUUCAUAAUGUAAAAUAAUUAAAGGCACAUUCCUGAAAAGGAAAGAGAUUAAUACUUUUGAUAUGUGAGUUAAUUUCUGACAGAUUGACCCCCCACCCCAUAGAAGAAAAAAAGGACAUAUAGGAGCUUAUAUUCUUGAGACCUGUCUCCUUACAAGGCAGAUAUUCUCUGAUCAGGUAGCCCUUACUAGGGACUGAUUUACAUAAUAAUAAAAAUAGCAUUUUUAACGCAUAUUAAAUGAGAGGUAUAGCAAAGGGCAUUAAAGAAACAUAUACAAUACAGAGUAUUAUAAGCAAACAAAACUUGACUCUGUACUGAUUCAUCUUGAGUUCAACCGCCAUCAUUCAUACAACUUUACACUUUGGCUAUGAAAUAAUACGUUUGGCAGAUAACCUUGAAAAUCCUACCCUUUGUUUCAAAGAGGGUAAACUCGAAUUACUUGAACGAUUCUGGCUGCUCCCUGAACGUUUUUAUAUAUUUGUAAAUGUUUAAACCACUCAUUUGUCAAAUGUCAUCCUGUUCCUUCUACCUUGCCCAACAAGAUUCUCCCUGGCUUAUUUUAACUCGUUAAAAAAAAGGAAAAAAAAUAAAGUAAAAGUUAUCUUAAAGUAGAAGCAGAAAAGUGCUAUUUAAUUAAUAAUAAUAAUGUCUGCUCUGCAACUCAUUUUGAAAUAGGAAAGUCUAGGUUUCUAGCCAUUUAAUUUGAUAGCAAUUUGUAUGAAAUUUGGUCUAGCCCAGGGGUACACAACCUUGGCUCUUUUAUGACUCAUGGACUUCAACUAUGCUGACUCAGGAAUUCUGGGAGUUGAAGUCCAUGAGUCAUAAAAGAGCCGAGGUUGCCUACCCCUGGUCUAGCCCUAUCAUUGGCCAAAGACAGGAUGGGAUCAAGCAUACUGUUAAGUAUGAAUACAGUACGGAUUAACAUCCUCGUCUCAUAAUUCUAAAAUAGCAAUGAAAGGUGUGGUCCCAUUGCAGCUGUCAAAACAAGCCUCAAUGGCCAAGCCGGAAAACUCCAGCCAAUUUAAUGAUGGGAGAAUUACUAGCCUCAUAUGUCUGGCAACCAAAAUGCCGUAAGCUAUGCUGAGCUGAUUUAUGUGGCAAAGGUUGAAGGAAAAAGAACAACCAAUAGCUAAAUGGGUGGACUCAGUUACAGUAGUGAUGAUUGCACUGUAGAUCUGAAAGACCAAAUUAGGGAUAAAUCACCAAGGAGAAAAUUUAUGUGGCCACUAAAGAGCUGACACCAGCUUGAUGGCACAUAUUAAUCAAUGUGUCUUGUUGCUAUGAAUUCAUAGGCUGCAGUGGAGAAAUACAGAGCUCCACAUACUGCAAGCAUGUACCAAGAACCUUUACAAAAAUACUAACUAGGCUUCCAAUAUGUCCAAGAUUCUGCUAGAUUCAAGGCAAGAAGAGGAGAGGAACCAGUGUUAUUCUUCAUUCUGUUCUGGAUUACAGUGUAAAGUUUACUAACUACAAAAGUAAAUUCUCUCCCUACAUAUAUAAAACAACAACUUGAUGAUAAGCGAUGUCAUUCUGGUCCAAAGUGAGUUCCCUGAUCAAACAAGGUCUUGAAUGAUUCACAUCCAGUACCAUUGGGUCUCAAAAUUAUCUACUGUAUUUCCUUCCUUUUAUGAAAUAAUUUAGACCAGCUACGAAUGAUACCUUUCUGAGGAGUGGGGACAUUACUGAAAAAUAAGUAGCAUUGGCUCUAGCCUUUUCCAAACCAUCCAUACAACAUAUCACCUUGAACCACCCUGUUCUGAAGUUAGGGAGAGAAUAUAUGGAAAUUUCCGUUCAGUUUAGAAGUGGGGAUCUUUCCAGGGCAGGAAAAUGAGAUUACCAUAAGGUUUUGUAAUCUCCUUGAAUACCUCUUGCAGAACUACUUGUGAAAUCACCAUGAGAUUAUAAAUUGCUUAAGGUAACUGUGUCUGAUAAGCCAAUUACGCCAUCUGCUUAUAGGACUGUCCUCUUUUUCCCCUACUUUCAGUGUAUUUUUUGUAAGAUAUUUGUGAUUUGAUCUUUGUGAUUUGUAUUGUAUGAAACACCGUUUCAGUCUCUCAUAUUGUAACCUUUAUUCUCAAAUAUCCUUGUCCAUUAGUCACCCUGGAAGAGCUAUACCUGAGAUGCCUUAGUUCUUUCAAAGGAUGUUUGUGAAACACCUCCUUGUGAAACAGAAGAAUAAAGGUGCUACAUCAGGAGCACCAGUUCCCAAGUUUUGUUCUUGAUCUCACUACAAGGACUAUUUAGAUGUGCACUCUGACUCCCACAGUAACCCAUAACAAUUUGUGUAGGAGCCACGUUGUUUGGGUGUGCCAUGACAUGCCAUCAUGUUCUGGACUAGCUGAAGCUACUUAGUGAUCUUCAGAGAUAGUGCCAUGUACAGCAUAAUAGUAGUCCAGAUGUGAAAUGAUCAAGCCAUGUAUGACCAUGAGAAGGGACGUCUGGUCCAGGAAUGAGGGCAAUUUUCAUAGACAAGAAAAGUCUAUGUGAAGGCCUUCCUUGACCUGCCACCUGCUCUUUGAGCAGAAGCUGAGAGUCAAAAAACACUCCCAAAUUGGAGAAGUGCAUAUACAUUAAAAAUGGGAAAGUGUCUGGGCCAGAAGGUCCAUAGCUAAUUGGUUUUGCUAACUUAAAUCUGUUUUCUCCUCCACCCUUGACCUGAACUGUCUCCAACCAUUAGGACAAGAACUUGAUAGCAUCACUUGUUGACCAGAGCCAAAAUAUACGACUACCAUCAUCAUUUGAAGAAGUUGAUAUUUGAUUCCACACCAACAGAUUAUCUCACCCAAUGAUGGAUAUAGUUGAAGGCUGGAGGAGAAUUCUCCAGGACUAUUCAGUUCAUAGAAUGAUCUUGAAGAGGGAACACAUCACCAGGUUUUUGGCAAUUCAACGCAAACCACGGAUUCAUGAAGCAAUUUAAAGGACAUUUUUAGAGACUGUGAUGAUACACAUCCCCUUUUAAAAUACAUCGCAAGAGUGUGGGAGAAGGGGAAAAAAAUGUGGAAUGGGAUUAUACCGUUACCCAGCAUCUAUUUAGAGGUAAGGAGGGAAAGGUACAAGAAGUGCAAUGUAUACAAGAAGUACAAUGCUUGCUACCCUUCCUGCUGUAAGCUCAUGAAGACCCUUAAUCUAUUGAAGAGAUAACAGAUGCAAUGAGGCUUUAUGCGUGCAGUUCUCAUCAUAAUAUUUAAAAUCCCCCACAGUCAGGGUUGAAAACCAUGUCAUAAGCCAAUCUCAACUGAGAAGGCUCUGAACUCCCCCCCCCCCGAAUUAGAGGGAAACAAGCAAGCAAACAGAAAGAUACAGAAAGAAUGGGACCUACUCUUUUCCCUCAGGCAAUGUAGAGGAUAUGUAGGGCUCUGGGAAGCUUGCUACUAUGUGAAGGGUGCAUUUUACUGGACAAUCUUGAAUUCAUUCAAUAUUUUAUAGAAUCUUUUUUUGCCUUUCCUCUGCAAUCUUCUCCUUGAAACCCUCUCUCCUGCCCAACCUAGGAUUUCUUUUUAUGUGGUAGGGAAGGAAAUGAGAAUGCAAGAAUUAGUAAUGGUCCCAUCACUCUUUUGGGAGGGAGAGAUCAGAAGGUUGGACUGAAAAAUGGAGCUAGUCC